GACGUAGGGCGCGAGCGUUGUCCGGAUUAUUGGGCGUAAAGAGCUCGGUAGGCGGCUUGUCGCGUCGAAUGUGAAAACCCACGGCUCAACUGUGGCGUGCGAGCGAUACGGGCAGACUAGAGUACUGCAGGGGAGACUGGAAUUCCUGGUGUAGCAGUGAAAUGCGUAGAGAUCGGGAGGAACACCAGUGGGCGAAAGGG
This 200-nucleotide ribosomal RNA is filed under the name uncultured bacterium. RNAcentral describes it as "partial 16S ribosomal RNA". It matches the Rfam family "Bacterial small subunit ribosomal RNA", at positions 524 to 723 of the family's 1533-position model. The record is from RNAcentral.